This 484-nucleotide ribosomal RNA is filed under the name uncultured bacterium. RNAcentral's name for it is "partial 16S ribosomal RNA". It matches the Rfam family "Bacterial small subunit ribosomal RNA", at positions 30 to 507 of the family's 1533-position model. The record is from RNAcentral.
AUUGAACGCUGGCGGCAGGCCUAACACAUGCAAGUCGGGCGGAUGAAGGGAGCUUGCUCCUGGAUUCAGCGGCGGACGGGUGAGUAAUGCCUAGGAAUCUGCCUGGCAGUGGGGGAUAACGUCCGGAAACGGGCGCUAAUACCGCAUACGUCCUGAGGGAGAAAGUGGGGGAUCUUCGGACCUCACGCUAUCAGAUGAGCCUAGGUCGGAUUAGCUAGUUGGUGGGGUAAAGGCCUACCAAGGCGACGAUCCGUAACUGGUCUGAGAGGAUGAUCAGUCACACUGGAACUGAGACACGGUCCAGACUCCUACGGGAGGCAGCAGUGGGGAAUAUUGGACGAUGGGCGAAAGCCUGAUCCAGCCAUGCCGCGUGUGUGAAGAAGGUCUUCGGAUUGUAAAGCACUUUAAGUUGGGAGGAAGGGCAGUAAGUUAAUACCUUGCUGUUUUGACGUUACCAACAGAAUAAGCACCGGCUAACUUCGUG